Molecule: ribosomal RNA, 377 nt
Filed under: uncultured bacterium
Lineage: Bacteria
Description: bacterial SSU rRNA
Rfam family: Bacterial small subunit ribosomal RNA
Source: RNAcentral
AUACGUAGGUGGCGAGCGUUGUCCGGAAUUACUGGGUGUAAAGGGCGCGUAGGCGGGGAUGCAAGUCAGAUGUGAAAUACCAUGGCUCAACUGUGGGGCUGCAUCUGAAACUGUGUUUCUUGAGUGCUGGAGAGGAAAGCGGAAUUCCUAGUGUAGCGGUGAAAUGCGUAGAGAUUAGGAGGAACACCAGUGGCGAAGGCGGCUUUCUGGACAGUAACUGACGCUGAGGCGCGAAAGCGUGGGGAGCGAACAGGAUUAGAUACCCUGGUAGUCCACGCCGUAAACGAUGGAUACUAGGUGUAGGAGGUAUCGACCCCUCCUGUGCCGGAGUUAACACAAUAAGUAUCCCACCUGGGGAGUACGGCCGCAAGGUUGAA